Molecule: RNA transcript, 936 nt
Organism: Cicer arietinum (chickpea)
Lineage: Eukaryota; Viridiplantae; Streptophyta; Magnoliopsida; Fabales; Fabaceae
Source: RefSeq, a predicted model, not a curated record
CAUCCACGUAAUGUUGAUCACUAUACUCAUUUCCAUCAUAAUGCUUACUAUAUUUCUCAUGAAAUCAAAACCUCUCAAAUUUUAUUAAUUUCCUCGCAUCAAUAACAAUGACAUACCAAAAACAAAACACCCAAAACUACGUCGUUUUACGACCGUGUAUCUGCCUAGCAUGGACGGUUAUUCUGACACUGUGUGUAACGGCAGUGUUUUUUUUAUGGCCGCGUGAUCCGGAAGUAGAGAUGGAACGGUUAACGGUGAGGAAAGUUAGGGUACAUCCAUUACCACCGUUAAGUGCUGACGUGGCGCUAUCGUUAACGGUUAACGUUCACAAUAGUGGUUUUUAUUUUAUGGAGUUAGGGGAGGUUGAUGUUGGUGUUAAGUAUCGUGGGAACAAACUUGGUCACGUGGAGACGGAGGGUUGGCACGUGGGGAGAAGGAGUUCGGCUCACGUGUUCGGUGAGCUUGAGUUUAGUGGACUUGCUUCUGCUGACGUGGCGCAUUUGAUGCAGGAUAUUGCUAAGGGUAGGGUCCACUUUCAUACUUCUGUUGAGGUUACUGGACAGCUUGGACUUUCUUUCUUUCAUGUCCCGAAAAUUUUCAAGAUGAAGCCUUUGUUGAAGAGGGAAGAGUAAGCAUAAGGAAUGAAGAAGAGAAAAAAAAUUGAGAAUGGAUAACAAAGUUUAGUUGAGGGGCUACAAUGGUAGUACUAUCAUGUGAGGUUUUGGUGAAUACAAAAAACCAUUCAAUUCUACAACAACAUUGUGUUGAAAAAGACUAAUUCAACAAAUGCUCUCGAAUGCAACCAUCGGAAGAAGGCUCAAAAGAUAUUAAAUUUUAUUCCUAUCAUUGUUACAAUAGUCAUUGAAUAUAUUUAUUAAAAUUAUAAAAACAUCUCUUAAUAUAAUAUAUCUCUUUGUUUGUCAUUUUGAUAUUCAA